RNAcentral lists this ribosomal RNA (468 nucleotides) under uncultured bacterium. Its description in RNAcentral is "partial 16S ribosomal RNA". It matches the Rfam family "Bacterial small subunit ribosomal RNA", at positions 28 to 507 of the family's 1533-position model. The record is from RNAcentral.
GACGAACGCUGGCGGCGUGCUUAACACAUGCAAGUCGAACGGAAAGGCCCUGCUUUUGUGGGGUGCUCGAGUGGCGAACGGGUGAGUAACACGUGAGUAACCUGCCCUUGACUUUGGGAUAACUUCAGGAAACUGGGGCUAAUAACGGAUAGGAGCUCCUGCUGCAUGGUGGGGGUUGGAAAGUUUCGGCGGUUGGGGAUGGACUCGCGGCUUAUCAGCUUGUUGGUGGGGUAGUGGCUUAACAAGGCUUUGACGGGUAGCCGGCCUGAGAGGGUGACCGGCCACAUUGGGACUGAGGUACGGGCCAGACUCCUACGGGAGGCAGCAGUGGGGAAUAUUGCACAAUGGGCGGAAGCCUGAUGCAGCAACGCCGCGUGCGGGAUGACGGCCUUCGGGUUGUAAACCGCUUUCGCCUGUGACGAAGCGUGAGUGACGGUAAUGGGUAAAGAAGCACCGGCUAACUACGUG